RNAcentral lists this ribosomal RNA (175 nucleotides) under uncultured bacterium. RNAcentral describes it as "partial 16S ribosomal RNA". It matches the Rfam family "Bacterial small subunit ribosomal RNA", at positions 1326 to 1500 of the family's 1533-position model. The record is from RNAcentral.
UCGGAGUUGCUAGUAAUCCCGAAUCAGCAUGUCGGGGUGAAUGCGUUCCCGGGUCUUGUACACACCGCCCGUCAAGCCAUGGGAGUUGGGAGUACCCAAAGUCGGUAGCCUAACCGCAAGGAAGGAGCCGCCUAAGGUAAUACCAAUGACUGGGGUUAAGUCGUAACAAGGUAGC